This 465-nucleotide ribosomal RNA is filed under the name uncultured bacterium. Its description in RNAcentral is "bacterial SSU rRNA". It matches the Rfam family "Bacterial small subunit ribosomal RNA", at positions 338 to 795 of the family's 1533-position model. The record is from RNAcentral.
CCUACGGGGGGCACCAGUGAGGAAUAUUGCACAAUGGGCGCAAGCCUGAUGCAGCCAUGCCGCGUGUAUGAAGAAGGCCUUAGGGUUGUAAAGUACUUUCAGUUGGGAGGAAGGCGUUGAUGCUAAUAUCAUCAACGAUCGACGUUACCAACAAAAGAAGCACCGGCUAACUCCGUGCCAGCAGCCGCGGUAAUACGGAGGGUGCAAGCGUUAAUCGGAAUUACUGGGCGUAAAGCGCACGCAGGCGGUUGAUUAAGUUAGAUGUGAAAUCCCCGGGCUUAACCUGGGAAUGGCAUCUAAGACUGGUCAGCUAGAGUCUUGUAGAGGGGGGUAGAAUUCCAUGUGUAGCGGUGGAAUGCGUAGAGAUGUGGAGGAAUACCGGUGGCGAAGGCGGCCCCCUGGACAAAGACUGACGCUCAGGUGCGAAAGCGUGGGGAGCAAACAGGAUUAGAUACCCUCGUAGUC